GGUCAUGGCUUAGGGGUUAGUGCAUCUGCUUUGAAUGCAGAAGGCUCCAUGUUCAAUCCCUGACAUCUCUA
Podarcis lilfordi (Lilford's wall lizard) is the source of this 71-nucleotide non-coding RNA. NCBI's taxonomy places the organism in Eukaryota, Metazoa, Chordata, Lepidosauria, Squamata, Lacertidae. The record is from the annotation of a GenBank genome assembly.